AACCAGGUGAGGGCGGACAUUUCUGGGCCAGAUCACGUUCUUUCAAAUUUGAUAUGUCAAUGGCAUCCAUUCGUGUUCACUCAGGGAUUCAAUCUCUUCAAUCUCGUUUCCAAGGUUGUCUCUUCCAAAAAGAGGAUCUAGUUCAAAAAAUGAAUCCGACUUGAAAAUGUCCGCCCAUGUCCUAAAUCUGCAUCAGGUAUGUCUCAUAAUGAGAAGAAAGGUAGGAGCUUCUUUGUUUACUGACAAUGCACAGAAAAUAAUCUGAAGAACAUGCAAUUAGAAAUUGAAGUAUCUGAUGUAUAUUGCAACCUUCAUUCAGGAUGGGAGCAAGGUUUUUGCAGUAUUUUAAGUUGGUAUGUUCCUUAUAGGAUAAGCAUCUUCAUCUUAUAACUGAAUGUGUAUACAAUGAAAUCGGUAUUCAAUUUGAGUGCCAUAAGAAGGUUUGUCUUUUUUGGAGUUGCACCUUCAGAAUACUUAAUUGUGCAUCUUCUGUAUUAAUUUGUUGAUGAUACACUAGCAUAAUCAUAAUUGAAGUCUGUAACAUAUGUAAUCAUUUUACAGUGGCC
Cryptomeria japonica (Japanese cedar) is the source of this 566-nucleotide long non-coding RNA. RefSeq lists it as uncharacterized. The transcript is spliced from 2 exons. The record is from RefSeq and is a predicted model, not a curated record. Lineage: Eukaryota; Viridiplantae; Streptophyta; Pinopsida; Cupressales; Cupressaceae.